Molecule: long non-coding RNA, 503 nt
Filed under: Numida meleagris (helmeted guineafowl)
Lineage: Eukaryota; Metazoa; Chordata; Aves; Galliformes; Numididae
Description: lncRNA (ENSNMEG00000019551.1)
Source: RNAcentral
AAAAAUGACUGUUCUUUCAUGAAAUGUUGACAUCUGCAGACAAAUAGUGUCCUGCAGCAUGUGCCAAAUUCCCUCUCUUCAUAUGUAAACCUUGCUACAAACACCUCCUACCCUGAUAUUUUUAGUGACAAGUGGAAAAUUGCUCUAUUAGCAGAACAAGGAGAAGUUAAUUCCUUCCAGCACCAGUUGCUGGUUUUUUAAGGCCAUGGAAACUUGGAAUUGAAUAUGCAAUAACAGGUAGAAAAAGACUGAGUACAAUCAUGUAAAAGCUGAAUUACUCCAAAUUGAUUUUUGCCUUCCCUCUUGCACUAAUUUUGUACCUAUUUGAUGUUGCAGAACUGUGCUGACUUUGAACGGGAAUUAAUGUCAAAGAUGCCCCUGAAGUCCAAAGCUGGAAUUCAGAUGAAAGACUUCUACAGUACGUUUUGAGAAGCUGCUCUGUACCAAAGUAUUUCACGUGAGAGGCUGUUGCCUAAGCUACUUCGUGUACAAACCUCUUUGCU